RNAcentral lists this transfer RNA (89 nucleotides) under Leclercia adecarboxylata. RNAcentral's name for it is "tRNA-Ser(tga)". It matches the Rfam family "tRNA". Rfam says of the family: Transfer RNA (tRNA) molecules are approximately 80 nucleotides in length. Their secondary structure includes four short double-helical elements and three loops (D, anti-codon, and T loops). Further hydrogen bonds mediate the characteristic L-shaped molecular structure. tRNAs have two regions of fundamental functional importance: the anti-codon, which is responsible for specific mRNA codon recognition, and the 3' end, to which the tRNAs corresponding amino acid is attached (by aminoacyl-tRNA synthetases). tRNAs cope with the degeneracy of the genetic code in two manners: having more than one tRNA (with a specific anti-codon) for a particular amino acid; and 'wobble' base-pairing, i.e. permitting non-standard base-pairing at the 3rd anti-codon position. Lineage: Bacteria; Pseudomonadati; Pseudomonadota; Gammaproteobacteria; Enterobacterales; Enterobacteriaceae. The record is from RNAcentral.
GGAAGCGUGGCCGAGCGGUUGAAGGCACCGGUCUUGAAAACCGGCGACCCGAAAGGGUUCUAGAGUUUCGAAUCUCUACGCUUCCGCCA